AAAAAUUAUAAUCAUGAUGUAAUUUUUAAGAAAGUACCCAAUCCAUUUUCAGAUAAUGAUGUAAGAUCUAUAAUCAACAGGAUUAGCUCCAGUUCACACUCCAGACCAGACGGUGGCGGUAUUGCACACUUUCAUUUAAAAAAAAAACGCCAUAAAGAGAAGAAAAAACUUGAACGCAGGGAAGAUAACAGGCGCUGUUCAAAUUCGCCAUUUUUACUCGCAUAAUAUUUCCUUAAAAGUAGAGAGGGUCUUGACAAUAGUUACUAAUUUUGGUAAAUUCAAGCUGGUGACGUCCUAGUCCGAGUUAGACGACAACACAACGGGACAACAACCGAUGGCAAUGAAAUGUGUGUCACAAAAGGAGCCCGGAGGGACGAAGGCUGCUAACGUGUUGCUAGCUAGUGGGCCCUGUGAUGGACUGGUGACCUGUCCAGGAUGAGCCCUGCCUCUCAUCUGAUGACUGCUAGAGAUGAGCACCACCAGCCCCCUUCACUACCCUGCAAAGAUUAGUGUGUUCAGAUCAUGGAUGGAAAGCUUUUAAGGCAAAGAAGACACCCAGAAAUGUUUUUCCACCCGAGGCAUUCGGUCCCAAUCAUCAUCACUUCUGAUGAUGCCACAUACAUAGCGAGUCCACAACGUCUUAAAAUUGUAAGUAUUAUUUUUUUAUUUGCCAUUUUUGUGUACUCUUUAAAAUACAAAUGCUUUCUCUGUUUAAUUGUUCUAUUGUUAUUUUUUGUAGGUUUCCGUAAAGUGCAGUGAAUAGGAAUGUUCUGUCGUUGAUCUUCACUGUUUUUAGGAAGGAGAAAUGUCAGUUUGUCUGCAGUAAUACUGGA
Molecule: long non-coding RNA, 833 nt
Organism: Poecilia latipinna (sailfin molly)
Lineage: Eukaryota; Metazoa; Chordata; Actinopteri; Cyprinodontiformes; Poeciliidae
Exons: 3
Source: RefSeq, a predicted model, not a curated record